This 443-nucleotide ribosomal RNA is filed under the name uncultured bacterium. RNAcentral describes it as "bacterial SSU rRNA". It matches the Rfam family "Bacterial small subunit ribosomal RNA", at positions 352 to 787 of the family's 1533-position model. The record is from RNAcentral.
CAGUGGGGAAUUUUGGACAAUGGGGGCAACCCUGAUCCAGCCAUUCCGCGUGAGUGAAGAAGGCCUUCGGGUUGUAAAGCUCUUUCGGCAGGAACGAAACGGUGAGCUCUAACAUAGCUCGCUAAUGACGGUACCUGAAGAAGAAGCACCGGCUAACUACGUGCCAGCAGCCGCGGUAAUACGUAGGGUGCGAGCGUUAAUCGGAAUUACUGGGCGUAAAGCGUGCGCAGGCGGUUGUGUAAGACAGGUGUGAAAUCCCCGGGCUUAACCUGGGAACUGCGCUUGUGACUGCACGGCUAGAGUAUGGCAGAGGGGGGUGGAAUUCCACGUGUAGCAGUGAAAUGCGUAGAGAUGUGGAGGAACACCGAUGGCGAAGGCAGCCCCCUGGGCCAAUACUGACGCUCAUGCACGAAAGCGUGGGGAGCAAACAGGAUUAGAUACCC